RNAcentral lists this ribosomal RNA (466 nucleotides) under Vreelandella stevensii. RNAcentral describes it as "partial 16S ribosomal RNA". It matches the Rfam family "Bacterial small subunit ribosomal RNA", at positions 338 to 795 of the family's 1533-position model. The record is from RNAcentral. Lineage: Bacteria; Pseudomonadati; Pseudomonadota; Gammaproteobacteria; Oceanospirillales; Halomonadaceae.
CCUACGGGAGGCUGCAGUGGGGAAUAUUGGACAAUGGGGGGGAACCCUGAUCCAGCCAUGCCGCGUGUGUGAAGAAGGCCCUCGGGUUGUAAAGCACUUUCAGUGAGGAAGAACGCCUGGUGGUUAAUACCCAUCAGGAAAGACAUCACUCACAGAAGAAGCACCGGCUAACUCCGUGCCAGCAGCCGCGGUAAUACGGAGGGUGCGAGCGUUAAUCGGAAUUACUGGGCGUAAAGCGCGCGUAGGUGGCUUGAUAAGCCGGUUGUGAAAGCCCCGGGCUCAACCUGGGAACGGCAUCCGGAACUGUCAAGCUAGAGUGCAGGAGAGGAAGGUAGAAUUCCCGGUGUAGCGGUGAAAUGCGUAGAGAUCGGGAGGAAUACCAGUGGCGAAGGCGGCCUUCUGGACUGACACUGACACUGAGGUGCGAAAGCGUGGGUAGCAAACAGGAUUAGAUACCCUAGUAGUC